AGAAUCGAAGGAAUUGAAAAGCAAACGCAAUUGCUGCCAGCAGCCGCAGCAGAUGCCAAAAUAACGUAAUCAGCAUGUCAUCCUAUCGCAGUUAUGCGCCCUGGAAAUCGAACUUGGGCAGUUCUUCAUACAAGCCAAGCAGCUCAGCAUACACGCUGGGCUCGGAUUUGGGCGGUGGUGCCACGUCGCGCUACAGUUCGCUGGCCACGCCCAGCUCCUACAGACCGUCGUUCUCUGGCGGCACAUAUCGCAUCAAGCGUGAUCCUCCCGCCCCGACGCCCGUCACCAGCUACGUGAGUCGCUAUGCCAAGACGGAGCCCACCAAGCCAGAAGUCGCCAGCAGCGAUCGCAGCAGCCCCAUCAAACGGUACACGGGAGCCAGCACAAAGCUGAGCAAGUAUGGACGCUCGCGGGAUCCCAGUCCUGUGGCGCUGGAGCACACGAAUCGAGCGACGUCCAAGUCACGAGAUCCCAGCCCCCAGCUGGGCGGCGCUGGUUAUAGGAGCAGCGUCUCGAGGAAUGGCUACAGCAGUCGCUAUGCGCCGGGUGGAACGAGACUGAAUGGAGCGGGCAGCACGCUGGACAAGUCCAUCUCCUAUUUGACCACGAGUGACUUCCAUGCGAGGACCGCCAGUCGCAAGGCGAGCAGGGAGAAGGAGGUGGAGGAGCAGCAGCAGCAGCAGUCAAAGACGGAAGAGGGUAAGGAUGUAGCAGAAGAGCUGAGCACCAAAGAGGGGCAGCCGAAAGAGGCGGAGCAGGGGGAAAAGGAGCAGCAGGAGAAGGAAGAACCGGAAGAAACCUUCGUCUCUGUGCUGGUGGUGACCAGAGCCACCUCACCCACACCGCCGGGCAGCACCACCGUGCAGCGCACACGUCGCAUCGACAUAGCCAAGACCAUCGAGAAGACCAUUCAGCGAUCCACAAGGAAGCGCCAAAUGCUGGAGAAGGAGAUCCAGUCGGAUCGGCUGGACGACUCCACACGCUAUCUGCGCUACAGCGCCGGCGGCAGCAGCUCCAUCAGCUCCAACUACAGCACGCACAGGGAUCGCAUUAGCAGCCUGCGCUACAGCGCCAGUCCCCAAGCCAGCAGCUCCCCCAAGUCCAGCUCGCCCAGCGUGGAGAGCAAGAGCAACGGAGCCGUGAGCCUGGCCAGCAGCAAGUCCUCCAGCAAGUCCAAGCUGUCGCCGCCUAAGGCGGUUCGCUUGAACUCGCGGCAGUCCUCAGUGGAGAAUCUGGUGAACAAGCCGCCGGCGGCGCCCGCCAAGGCCGAGUCGCCCACCAAGAGCUGCAACGGCAGCAGCAGCUCGAGCAGCUCCUUGGCCAAGUGGCCCUGGCCCAACAAGGACUUCCGCAAGAGCUCCCUGAACGUGGGUCCCACGGACAGGCCCAGGCAGUCCAGGACGCCCAGUAGCGGCGGCGAGUCCGAGGAGCCGGUCCUGGAACGCUCACCCAGCACAGGCUCCGACUGUGGUGGCUCCAAGCCGGCCAAGCUGACCAAUGGCAAGACAGCGGCUCGACAGCUCAAGGCGCACAAGUCGUGCAACGGGAGCAAGGAGAGCAGUGAGAGCAGCGGGAGCAAGGAGAGCAGCCUAUGCAAUGGCAGCAAUAGAAGCAACAGAAGCAGGGAGAGCAAUGGCAGCAGUGAGAGUAAGGAGAGCAGCAAAUGCAAUGGCAAUGGAUACAGUGGCAGCAAGGAGAGCAGCGUCAGCUGUUCGACCACCUCCGCCUGCUCCUCCUCCGACAGCGAACAGCGCGCGAAGACAAGCAAGAAGCAGGGCAAGAAGAAGUCGCCAGCGAAUGGCAGCCAAAACAAAGUGAAAGAGAAGGCGAAGGCAAAGCCAACGCAGAGAGAGGAGCAGCCGACGCCAGAGAGCGAGAGCCAGAGCCAGAGCCAGAACCAGAGAGAGGCAGAGAGCGAGAGCGCCGAGUUGGCAUUGGGCAACCAAAAUAGCAACAAGUCGUCGCUUGACUCACCCAAUGAGGGGGCGGCGGGAGUCGGGGUGGCUGUGGGGGUGUCAGUGGUUGCAGAUCGGUCGCAGUCGCGUCUGCAGAAGCUGUCGAAGGUAUCGAAUUUUUUGGCCACUCGUCAGCACGACGCAAAUAGUGAGCCGAUCUUCCUCGAAAGCUCCGAGAGCGCUGGCAGCGAAGCGGAAUCCCAGCCAGCUUUGGCCAGUCUCUUGCUAGACACGCAAACGAACGAACCAGCGACAACGACAACGACAACGACAGCGACAACGACGACGCCAGCCACGUCGACGACGACAACGACGAAUCCGACAACAAGUCCCAAUCAAACGACCACGAGGCAGGAGAGCCUGACCAGCGAGGCGCAGCAAGAGGAUACGGAGGAGCCCAGCUGGUGGCAGGACACGAGCCUACAGAUCAAUACGGCGUCCGCAUUGGACAACAACAAUCGCAGCGAUAUGCCCUACAGGCUGAGGCACAUCGAUUCGGGCGAGGAUCACGCCUGGUGGCUGCGCCCCGAUGAGGAUGACACGCUGGCGGAGACCACGCUGAAUGCGCUGGAUGAUGAGCAGGAUGCGAGUGUGGCAACCAUCUCGCAGGGCGAAACGGGCUACAGAUGGAGCAGCAGCAAAGAGGAGCAUGAGCGAGAGCGGGAGGAGGAGCAGGAGGCGAGAGUGGAGGAGCUUGAGCAGGAGGAGCAAGUGAAGCGCAUGCCGCGCAGUCGCAUCUCACCCGAGCAGGAUGCCUGGUGGCUAGACGAGGAGCAGCAGCAGCCGGAGCAACCGGAGCAGCCGCAGGAGUCCACGUCGAAUGGCUACCACGAGGACUGCAACAAUGUGGAGGUGACCUUGAAGCUGCCCAGCAGCAGCGGCAACAGCAGGAGCAACAAGAGCAGCCAAUCAUCCGCAGCAAAGUCGCCUUCGUGGUGGCAAGCGGGCCCCGCCAAGAAGCUCUUCAAUGUGCAGCGCGUGGAGUCUGGGGAGCGCGCCUGGUGGCAGGAUCAGGAGCAGGUGGAGCCACAGCCGCAGCUGCAGCCGCCGCCAGUGAAACUGCCAACGCCACCGCCGACGCCACCGCCGCGCAUCAUCAAGCCGUGGGACUCGGGCGAGCGAGCCUGGUGGCUGGAGGAGGAGCAGCCAGAACAGCCGGAGCAACAACAGGCCACCAAUAGCGACCAGGUCGACGCACAGGUGCUUAGUCAGCCCUGUGAGAUGAGCACCUCCUUCGACUUUGCCUAUUCGGUGCGCCCGAAUCCGUUGGGCCAGUGCGCCAGUCCGCUGCCGGCAGAGCAAAUCGAGCAGAUUGAUCAGCGAAAGCUUUGCGCGUCACCUUACGAUAACAUUCCAAUGUCAAAAGUUCAAAUGGCAGCGCCGCCGUUGCAUGUGCAGUCGGCGUCGCAGUCGACGCCAAUGCCACCAACACCGCCGCCGCGUUACUCUUAUACGCCACCCACGUGCCGUGUGGGCGAUAAGCUUUUCAUUUCGCGUCAUCAAAACAUUGACGAGCUUUUGGGUGGCGCAUGCCGGCCGCUCAGUCCGCUCUUCUACAGCGGCGGCGGCGCAACUGAGAGCGAAGCGGCAGCGCUGCCGCUGGCAAGCAAAAAUAUGUUUCUGCUGGAAGAGAUAACGCCGGAUCAAGUGCGCAUUCACGACAGCACCGCACAGUUGCCGGUUAUACAGCGCAUGCAGCGCGAUGUGGAAUGGCUAGGGAACGGCAGCAGCAGCAGCAACUUUUACGAGCAGCAGAAGCAGCAACCGCAGCAGCGCCGGAUUGAUGACGCAGCUAUUCAGGUGUACAAGGAUGGCGACUUUGGCGCUUAUCUGGAUCUGGAAUCAUCGCUGGCUGAGCAGAGCGAGGAAAUUGAGGGGCUACAAGCCAGUCGCAAAAAUUCUUUGGUUAUUCGCACACAGCUGAGCGUUCGUGUUCAUGCGAUUAUAGAAAAACUUCUAUCAUCGGAGGGCAGCGAUCUGCGACGUGCUCUGUUCUCACUCAAGCAGGUGUUCCAGGAGGAUAAGGAUCUGGUGCAUGCCUUUGUCGCACUGGGCGGCCUCAAUUGCCUCGUGCGCGUCGGCAAUUGCGCCGAUCAAAACUAUCAGAACUAUAUACUGCGUGCCCUAGGCCAGGUCAUGCUCUAUGUGGAUGGCAUGAAUGGCGUUAUGAAGCAUCAGCCCACCAUGGAGUGGCUCUACUCAUUGAUCGCCUCCAAUUACCGUUCAGUGGUUAAGACGGCGCUGAAGCUGUUGCUCGUGUUUGUGGAAUAUGCCGAGACCAAUUGCUAUGUGUUAGUGAGCGCCAUUCAUGCUGUGGACGCCGCUCAAGGCACUUUGCCCUGGGCCAAUAUAAUGAGACUGCUUAAGGACUAUGAUAAUGCGGAUGCAGAGCUAGUGAUCUAUGCCACAUCGUUGAUAAAUAAGACACUGGCCGGUCUGACGGAUCAGGACAGUUUCUAUGAUGAGAGUGAUCUGCUGGAGCAGCAGGGCAUGGAGACGGUCAUACAGCGCUACAUGUCCAAGCCAGGCACAGAUCUCGAUCUGCUGGAUCAACUGCAGCUGUACGAGGCGGUGUUGAAAUUCGAGGAUGGUGAGUCGGAUGGCCAGCGCCUGCCGCAGAACUCAAUGCGCAAGACUCAGCGCUAUCGUCCCGGCGCCGGCACCACGGAGCGACGCAAAUCGCGUCGCCACAGCACAGACAACAGUCCGGCGCCCUUGACCAAGGUGCUGCCCACGCAGGUGCUGCGCAUGACACCCACACAGGCGACAGUCGACGAGGACGAUAGCUCUGGCUCAACGAAUUCCACAGAGUUCAGCAACGGCAUAUUCCAGGAGAAGAAACCACGUGAUGGCGCUGGGGUCACACCAGGUCUGCGUCGCCGACGUGAACGCGCCGAGCGGCACAAGAGCUUCCUCAAGGAGCAGGAGGAGGCGGCAGCCAAUGGCAUCUUUGCGGCCCGGGAGCUGCGUGAAAGCUAUGGCCAAAUCGUAACCGCCAUUCCUGCAACCAUACAAAGCGGCGACAGUCCGCCGCAAUCGCUGCAAUCUGAGCUGCCAGUGGCUCCACAGACGCCCACGCCCUGCAACAACAACAGCAACAACAGCAGCAGCAACCACAUUAACAACAACAGCAACAACAACAACAUCAACAACAAUAGCAAUAGCAAUUGCCAUCACACCCACAACAUCCACAUUGACACGCCCAACAACAGCUUGCUGCUGAGUCCGACGAAGCAGCUGCUAAGUGGCAGCCAGAGCAUCUCGAUCAUCAACAACAGCUUCGACAAGGCCAACAACAAUAUGAACAACCAGAAUGAGUUCCUUACCAAAAAGAAUCUCUUUCGGGAGCGCAACGCAACUGUGAUCAACGGCAUCAUGAAGAACAUACAGCAGACGGACAGUGCCUACAAAAAGUAUGAGAACGAUGCCAAUCGACUGAACAACUAUUACACACAGCUCAGCCAAUCGCCCAAGCAUCUGGCCCACCACCCAGUCCAGGAGAAGUCACUGAAUGGCAAUGGCUUCGAGUUUGUGCCCGAUAGCUCAACGCCGCUGAAGGCGGAUGCUUUGCCUCCGCCCGAACCGCUGAGUCCCAUACACAAGCCAGCGGCUGGGGCGCCACCACCACCACCGCCGCCGCCUCCACCACCACCGCCACCACCUGGCUGGUGGCACAUACCCAUAGCCACCAAUGCAAAUGCAGCUAGAACCCUAACCAGUACUAACCAAGAGCCUCCAACAGCCAUGGAAGCAACAGAUCUGGAGGACAAGGAAAUGCUAAUGCAGCUGAAACGUGAUCACACCGUCAAAGAUCUGACACAGAAACUAUGCAAUCUGCCCACCAGCCCCACACAGGAGCCAGGCAGCCGCGCCAUUGUGGGCGACAUGUCUGGCCUGAUUUCGAAAGCCAAAGAGGGGCUUGCCAAGAGCAAGAGCAAAGGUGAAAUUUCACGCUCAUCGAGCGUCGACCAGGAGCUGAAGAAGGCUGAGCCGAAGAAGUCGGAGAAUGAGCUGCACUGGGAGGAGCUGGUGCGCAAUAUGACGCGACCCUUGAACCUAUGCGAUCUGGACUUUACCGAUCUACACUCGGAUGAUGAGAAGGAUGUGCUGGCACCGCGUGGCCUUGGCGCUGGCAUACCGCCACCACCGCCGCCCCUGGGCGGAGGCAUGGUGAUGCCGCCGCCCUGCCUGAUGCCGCCGCCCAUGUUCAGCUAUGCGGGCUACGGGGCGAGCAGCCUGACGAACAGCGUGAAUAGCUCCCUCAAUGGCUCGAUCAACGGCGAGCUGGCCAAUGGCAACAAUACCAUCAAGAAGAACAAGAAGACGGUCAAGCUCUUCUGGAAGGAAGUGCGCGAGGACAUGAUUCCACAGGUGAUAGGCAAAACGAUCUGGGACGAGCUGCCCAGCGCGAAUGUGGACACACAGAAGCUGGAGCACUUGUUCGAGUCGCGCGCCAAAGACCUGAUGACCAAGAAGCAACAGGAGCUGAACAAGAGCAAGGAGAUCAUCGUGCUGGACCACAAGCGCUCGAAUGCCAUCAACAUUGCGAUGACCAAGCUGCCGCCGCCGCGCGCCAUCAAGGCGGCCAUUCUGAAGAUGGAUGCCACUGUGGUGACGCGCGAGGGCAUCGACAAGCUGCUGAACAUGCUGCCGACGGACGAGGAGCGCGGCAAGAUCCAGGAGGCGCAGCUGUCCAAUCCGGAACUGCCCCUGGGCAGCGCCGAGCAGUUCCUGCUCACGCUGGCCUCCAUCACAGAGCUGGGCGCACGCCUGAAGCUCUGGGCCUUCCGCCUGGACUUUGACAACUGCGAGAAAGAGAUUGCCGAGCCGCUGAUGGAUCUGAAGCAGGGCAUUGAGAUACUGCGCCACAAUCGCACCUUUCGCAGCAUCCUCGCCACGCUGCUCUCCGUGGGCAUCUUCCUGAACGGGGCGCCGGUGAAGGGCUUUCAGAUCGAGUACCUGGCCAAGGUGCCGGAGGUGAAGGACACCGUGCACAAGCACUCGCUGCUGCACCAUCUCUGCCACAUGGUCAUGGAGUCGAAUAGCGACACAACCGAUUUGUAUUCCGAAAUCGGGCCCAUCACGCGCGCCUCCAAGGCCGACUUCGCCGAUCUGGCCCACAAUCUCACCCAGCUGGAGUCGGAGUGCAAGGCGUCGUGGGACCGCCUCAAGCUGAUUGCCAAGCACGACUGUGCGCCGCCCCUGAAGCAGAAGCUGGUGGACUUCCUGGCCGACUGCGCCGAGCGCAUCAUCAGCCUGCAGACGGUGCAUCGGCGCGUGAUGAAUCGCUACCGCAAGUUCCUGCUCUGGCUGGGCAUGCCGCAGCACAGCGUGGCCGAGUCGCGGCCCAACGAGUUCUGUCGCACGCUCUCCGAGUUCGCGCUGGAGUACCGGACGACGCGCGAGCGUGUGCAGCAGCAGCUGGAGAAGAAGGCCAAUCACCGGGAGCGCAACAAGACGCGCGGCAAGCUGAUCAUUGACAUGGUCAAGUUCAAGACCAAAGAGGAUGUGGCUGAUGCCGAGCUGAAGCAACUGCUGGGCACUCCCAGUCCCGAUCAGACGGAUGGCACGCUCACCUGGCGUCGGCGCCGCGCCGAGCAGCUGCGCUCGCCCAUCGCCCGGCAGAGCGAGGAGCAGUUCACCGACGGCGACGACGAAAUACUCGAGUCCCUGGUCAAGACGGCGACCAAGGCGUCCGGCACACGGACCACGCCGCGUGAACGCAAGCGCACCCGCCAUGCGGAUCGCAAGUCCUUGAAGCGCAGCCGCACGCGCGAGGGAUUCACAGUUGAAAGAGCACCGUCGCCCUAGAGCCGUUUGCGCAACUGUUGCGCAAACAAUCCAAACAGUUUUAGGUUUUUACCUUUCUUUUGUUGUGCGUCGCACGCUGAAGAACGGCCUCACCGAGGAGGAGAAACAGCACGUGGCUGCCUUGAUACAAACCUAUUAGAG
Molecule: RNA transcript, 7907 nt
Organism: Drosophila navojoa
Lineage: Eukaryota; Metazoa; Arthropoda; Insecta; Diptera; Drosophilidae
Gene: Fhos
Gene name: Formin homology 2 domain containing
Source: RefSeq, a predicted model, not a curated record